Molecule: ribosomal RNA, 253 nt
Filed under: uncultured bacterium
Lineage: Bacteria
Description: partial 16S ribosomal RNA
Rfam family: Bacterial small subunit ribosomal RNA
Source: RNAcentral
UACGGAGGGGGCUAGCGUUGUUCGGAAUUACUGGGCGUAAAGCGCACGUAGGCGGCUUUGUAAGUUAGAGGUGAAAGCCCAGGGCUUAACCCUGGAAUUGCCUUUAAGACUGCAUCGCUAGAAUCGUGGAGAGGUGAGUGGAAUUUCCGGUGUAGCGGUGAAAUGCGUAGAUAUCGGAAGGAACACCUGUGGCGAAAGCGGCUCACUGGACCACAACUGACGCUGAGGCACGAAAGCUAGGGGAGCAAACAGG